GGGCAAGUCUGGUGCCAGCAGCCGCGGUAAUUCCAGCUCCAAUAGCGUAUAUUAAAGUUGUUGCAGUUAAAAAGCCCGUAGUUGAACUUCAGGCCUGGCUGGGUGGUCUGCCUAACGGCAUUGUACUGCUCGGCUGGGUCUUACCUCUUGGUGAGCCAGCAUGCCCUUCACUGGGUGUGUUGGGGAACCAGGACUUUUACCUUGAGAAAAUUAGAGUGUUCAAAGCAGGCAUUUGCUCGAAUACAUUAGCAUGGAAUAAUAGAAUAGGACGUGCGGUUCUAUUUUGUUGGUUUUUAGAGUCGCCGUAAUGAUUAAUAGGGAUAGUUGGGGGCAUUUGUAUUGCGUUGCUAGAGGUGAAAUUCUUGGAUUUACGCAAGACAAACUACUGCGAAAGCAUUUGCCAAGGAUGUUUUCGUUAAUCAAGGACGAAGGUUAGGGGAUCGAAAACGAUCAGAUACCGUUGUAGUCUUAACAGUAAACUAUGCCGACUAGGGAUCGGACGACCUCACAUUGAUGUGUCGUUCGGCGCCUUACGGGAAAC
RNAcentral lists this ribosomal RNA (541 nucleotides) under uncultured Basidiomycota. RNAcentral describes it as "SSU rRNA". It matches the Rfam family "Eukaryotic small subunit ribosomal RNA", at positions 553 to 1098 of the family's 1831-position model. Lineage: Eukaryota; Fungi; Basidiomycota. The record is from RNAcentral.